This is a long non-coding RNA of Mobula hypostoma (lesser devil ray), 423 nucleotides long. RefSeq lists it as uncharacterized. NCBI's taxonomy places the organism in Eukaryota, Metazoa, Chordata, Chondrichthyes, Myliobatiformes, Myliobatidae. The transcript is spliced from 3 exons. The record is from RefSeq and is a predicted model, not a curated record.
CAGGGCUGUCAGUGUGCAACACCCUGCUCCAGUAGAAGAAGGUGGGGGCUGUUAGGAGAAAGCAGGGGGAUGUGGGACUCUCUCAGGGAAGUAGGGAUGUGUUUCAGGAAACUAUUGAUCAUCCAUUCCCAUCCUCUUGUUGCUUUUGUGGCUGUGUCCCUCCUUAUUGUUCCCUCCUCCUUAUCCUGCUGCUGGUCUGGAGUGCAGUGGUCAGGAUGAAACCUAAAAGUGCUACAGAGUGCCCUGGAAAAUCUGGGCGAAGCAGGCCUGGUAAGGUCGAUCCCCCAACUACUCACAGCUUCAAGGAGAAGACAUUUAAGAAGAAGAAGCACUGUGUAGUAUGCAAACAGCCAAUCACAUCACAGGGCAUCUUAUGUCGCGUCUGCAAGUUAGCAAGUCACAAGAAAUGUGAAUCCAAGGUAA